RNAcentral lists this ribosomal RNA (501 nucleotides) under uncultured bacterium. RNAcentral's name for it is "partial 16S ribosomal RNA". It matches the Rfam family "Bacterial small subunit ribosomal RNA", at positions 29 to 523 of the family's 1533-position model. The record is from RNAcentral.
AUUGAACGCUGGCGGCAUGCCUUACACAUGCAAGUCGAACGGCAGCACGGGUACUUGCACCUGGUGGCGAGUGGCGAACGGGUGAGUAAUACAUCGGAACGUACCUUAUCGUGGGGGAUAACGCAGCGAAAGCUGUGCUAAUACCGCAUACGCCCUGAGGGGGAAAGCGGGGAAUCGCAAGACCUCGCGCGAUUAGAGCGGCCGAUGCCUGAGUAGCUAGUUGGUGGGGUAAAAGCCCACCAAGGCGACGAUCAGUAGCUGGUCUGAGAGGACGAUCAGCCACACUGGGACUGAGACACGGCCCAGACUCCUACGGGAGGCAGCAGUGGGGAAUUUUGGACAAUGGGGGCAACCCUGAUCCAGCAAUGCCGCGUGAGUGAAGAAGGCCUUCGGGUUGUAAAGCUCUUUUGUCAGGGAAGAAACACCGGCUCUAACACAGUCCGGGAAUGACGGUACCUGAAGAAUAAGCACCGGCUAACUACGUGCCAGCCGCCGCGGUAA